GGGCCUGUAGCUCAGCUCGGUUAGAGCGACGGUCUUAUAAGCCGUAGGCCUUGAGUUCAAAAAUGGCCGGCACGAAGUGCCUGGAAUUCCGUCUUAGAGAAAUGUAUAAGACUAGGAAGGCUAUCUCACAUAUGUUAUUCCUAGGCUGAGAUUCUCAACAGGCCCA
RNAcentral lists this transfer RNA (166 nucleotides) under Microcaldota archaeon. Its description in RNAcentral is "tRNA-Ile". The stretch from base 1 to 59 matches the Rfam family "tRNA". Lineage: Archaea; Nanobdellati; Microcaldota. The record is from RNAcentral.